RNAcentral lists this unclassified non-coding RNA (642 nucleotides) under uncultured Prochlorococcus sp. Its description in RNAcentral is "partial 16S-23S ribosomal RNA intergenic spacer; may also contain 16S ribosomal RNA and 23S ribosomal RNA". The stretch from base 302 to 374 matches the Rfam family "tRNA". The record is from RNAcentral. Lineage: Bacteria; Bacillati; Cyanobacteriota; Cyanophyceae; Synechococcales; Prochlorococcaceae.
UUGUGGAGGAGGACGCCGAAGGUGGGGCUAAUGACUGGGGUGAAGUCGUAACAAGGUAGCCGUACCGGAAGGUGCGGCUGGAUCACCUCCUAACAGGGAGACAACAAAAUGUUUAAUAUUAUUUUGUCACCUUAGGUCGAUCGGUAUCUCACGUUCUUGAUUUAUUGAGAAUUUCAUUUCCUAAGUUUUUCUAGGUCACACCCAUUAUUUUUCCUGGGCCAUUAGCUCAGGUGGUUAGAGCGCACCCCUGAUAAGGGUGAGGUCCCUGGUUCAAGUCCAGGAUGGCCCAUAUCUCUAUGUUGGGGGUAUAGCUCAGUUGGUAGAGCGCCUGCUUUGCAAGCAGGAUGUCAGCGGUUCGAGUCCGCUUACCUCCACUGAUUACCACCUCUUCCAUAUCUCAGAUAAAGGAAAUUUUUUGAGUUGUGAUCAAAUUCUGAACGAAUCUAGCUUCCUAAUGAAAUCAUUAAGAUGCUGGACUCAUUGAAUUAAUUUCAUUGUUUUCAGAGAACCUUGACAACUGCAUAGAUUAUUUUUAAAGACAAUAAGCAUCUUUAAUGAUGUAGAUUAUUAUUUUUGCGAAUGCAUUAAUAACAAUUCUAUUAAGCUGAUGCUUCAAUUUUGAAGUUAUUGGUCAAGCUACAA